This 635-nucleotide long non-coding RNA is filed under the name Daucus carota (carrot). Its description in RNAcentral is "long non-coding RNA (DCAR_LNC001051)". Lineage: Eukaryota; Viridiplantae; Streptophyta; Magnoliopsida; Apiales; Apiaceae. The record is from RNAcentral.
AAAAAUUGAGCGAUUUCCAUGAGUCGCAACUCAAUGAAUAUACAUCAACUUUAGUUUGUAAAAGAUACUGAGAUUGUCUGAAAAUAACUUAUAGCGUCUUUGUAAAAUCUUCCAGAAAAUAAAAGAAAGUAAGGUUCUCGAAACAAUUGUAAGAAAAUAUUCAUUUUAAUAUAUAUUUCCUGUUCGUAUUUAUGAGAGCAAUUAAUAUCUUUCAUUCAUAAUAUUAUCAUCAUCCCAAAUUACACCAAGAUAUAACAUCAUCACAUAUAUGUUUUACUUAAUCAUAAAUCACUGACAUAUGUUAAUCAUAUAUGCCAUGAAAGUAUGAACUUGUAUCUAUGCAUGCAUGCAUCUCUGUUUCUCUUUCUUUUGCUAUUGUGAACAGUUCACUGUAUAAUGCCCGUGUUUCCACAUGUCCUCAAAGGAUCCAUGUGUGUCUGGCCAGCUCCGUCUAUGUCCGACUAUGGAAAUCGGCUCCGUCUAUGUCCGACAUAAGUCGGCCCCGUCUAUGGCUGACAUAUAGUCUGCUCCGUAAUUACCCGUAGGUUCCAUAUAUAAAGGUGGCCAUUACACAAGUGACUGUCACUUUGACUUUUUAAGUUAACACUGUCAAAUGAAUGUAGGAUGUGCAUAUG